AGGUUUGCUAGAUCUAUACUGUUUUAUUUGGCAAAGUAGCCUGGCUGUUCUCUGCGCCUCUUCUGCAAAGCAUCAAGAUUCACCUCCACUGACUACAGCAUGAAUUGGGCCCAGAUGGCUGCAGGACAGAGGCUGGAGUGGAUGGUAGCAGUGAGUGAUUCAAGUGAAAGUUCUCAGUGAUGCCCUGCGUCAGUACAAAGAAGAUUCACAAUUCCUAGGGACAAGACUUGCCAGCACAGUCUCCCUUAAAAUGAUCUGCCUGAGAGCCGAGGAGUAGGUAGUGUAUUACUGUGAGAGACACAGUGAGGGGACAUCUGUGUGAGCCCAGACACAAACCUCCCUGCAGGGAGACAGGAGGGGACCU
This 364-nucleotide long non-coding RNA is filed under the name Homo sapiens (human). Its description in RNAcentral is "non-protein coding lnc-ANKRD20A8P-7:1". Lineage: Eukaryota; Metazoa; Chordata; Mammalia; Primates; Hominidae. The record is from RNAcentral.